Ipomoea triloba (trilobed morning glory) is the source of this 1106-nucleotide long non-coding RNA. RefSeq lists it as uncharacterized. The transcript is spliced from 4 exons. Lineage: Eukaryota; Viridiplantae; Streptophyta; Magnoliopsida; Solanales; Convolvulaceae. The record is from RefSeq and is a predicted model, not a curated record.
AUGAAUCAAUUUCUCGCAACAAUGGCGGACAAAACCCCAACCCAGGAAGCAAUCGACUAGCAAGGAGGAAUGAGAUCGGCGAUACCGGAACCACCAAGGAGAAGACAGUGACGGUGGCGCCAUCACCGGCGGCGACACCACUCGCGACAGUUCGCAGAAGCUAUCCAUCUCCAAUACCUAAGAAAAACCGUCUUCACCUCCUCAAAUUUUCUCCUAAUUGCUUCUACAACUGCUCUCAUCGUUUUUCAUUGGCCAUUUGUUGCUAAUAAGGAAUGUGCAGAACUUAUAGAUGAGUUCAUAUCUGCAGUUAAACAAAACUAUGGAGAAAAAAAAAUUCUCAUACAGGUAUGCCUUUGAUAUAGUAUAUGUUAGAUAAGAGUGUGUUAUUUACUAUAUAUUCUAAACUCCUAAAAACUUUCCAGUUAGAAGACUUUGCAAAUCACAAUGCUUUUGAUCUGCUGGCAAAGUAUUGUACUGCUUGUGUAACUUUUGCAGUCAGGGGUUGUGCUAGAUGGAACUCGGAAAAAGAUUUGGCUUGUCAACUCAAAGGCACUUGCACUAAUCUCAUCAAUUUUGAGUAGCUUCCUAAUAAUGCAUAUUUUCUUUACUGCUGCCAUGAACUUGACCUUUAUUUUCACCAGUAGAACUUGACAAUUUCUCUCUAAUUGUCUGUAAUCUUUUACCAUUUCAGCCAUUUUUUGUUACCUAACACAUUAUUGUCUUAGUAUUUGAAUGUUGGAAAAUUGUCUCACAUGCAUUUAGCAUGUUACAUUACCUAUAAUAACCAUUCAUGUAAAGGUUUUAAUUUUUUGUGUUUGUAUUUACCCAUUCUUAUAUAGGUUUGGAAACGAUUUCUCCUAAUUUGAGCAGACUUAUGGUGAUCUUGCCAGCAUGAUGAAGUUUGAGCAAAGAAAAAAAAAGCCCUUACUAGGACAGGUGAUGAGGAAGCAUCAAUAUUAGAGAGUUCACUGCAAGAUUUUGUAUCACGCUAUUAUUCCUAGUUCACUGCAAUAUGAGGAAACAUCAAUAUUAUUUUGAACCAAUAUCGGCUGUCUAAAAGGGGAGCAUGUGAGUUUUUGCAUGAAUUGAGAGGUAACUUUCGAAUU